AUGGACCAGGGUGAUCUCCUACUGUAUCAUAGGUCUAUGGACCAGGGUGAUCUCCUGCUCUAUCAUAGGUCUAUAGACCAGGGUGAUCUCCUACUGUAUCAUAGAUCUAUAGACCAGGGUGGUCUCCUACUGUAUCAUAGGUCUAUAGACCAGGGUGAUCUCCUACUGUAUCAUAGGUCUAUAGACCAGGAUGAUCUCCUACUGUAUAAUAGGCCUAUAGAGCAGGGUGAUCUCCUACUGCAUCAUAGGUCUAUAGACCAGGGUGAUCUCCUACUGUAUCAUAGGUCUAUAGACCAGGGUGAUCUCCUGCUGUAUAAUAGGUAUAUAGACCAGAGUGAUCUCCUACUGUAUAAUAGGCCAAUAGACCAGGGUGAUCUCCUACUGUAUCAUAGGUCUAUAGACCAGGGUGAUCACCUGCUCUAUCAUAGGUCUAUAGACCAGGGUGAUCUCCUACUGUAUCAUAGAUCUAUAGACCAGGGUGGUUUCCUACUAUAUCAUAGGUCUAUAGACCAGGGUGAUCUCCUACUGUAUCAUAUGUUUAUAGACCAGGGUGAUCUCCUACUGUAUCAUAGGCCUAUAGACCAGGGUGAUCUCCUACUGCAUCAUAGGUCUAUAGACCAGAGUGAUCUCCUACUGUAUCAUAGGUCUAUAGACCAGGGUGAUCUCCUACUGUAUCAUAGGUCUAUAGACCAGGUUGUUCUCCUACUGUAUCAUAGGUCUAUAGACCAAGGCGAUCUCCUACUGUAUCAUAGGUCUAUAGACCAGGGUGAUAUCCUACUGCAUCAUAGGUCUAUAGACCAGGGUGAUCUACUACUGCAUCAUAGGUCUAUAGACCAGGGUGAUCUCCUACUGUAUCAUAGGUCUAUAGACCAAGGCGAUCUUCUACUGUAUCAUAGGUCUAUAGACCAGGGUGAUAUCCUACUGCAUCAUAGGUCUAUAGACCAGGGUGAUCUACUACUGCAUCAUAGGUCUAUAGACCUACUGUAUCAUAGGUCUAUAGACCAGAGUGAUCUCCUACUGUAUAAUAGGCCAAUAGACCAGGGUGAUCUCCUACUGUAUCAUAGGUCUAUAGACCAGGGUGAUCUCCUACUGUAUCAUAGGCCUAUGGACCAGGGUGAUCUCCAACUGCAUCAUAGGUCUAUAGACCAGAGUGAUCUCCUACUGUAUCAUAGGUCUAUAGACCAGGGUGAUCUCCUACUGUAUCAUAGGUCUAUAGACCAGGGUGAUCUCCUACUGUAUCAUAGGUCUAUAGACCAAGGCGAUCUCCUACUGUAUCAUAGGUCUAUAGACCAGGGUGAUAUCCUACUGCAUCAUAGGUCUAUAGACCAGGGUGAUCUACUACUGCAUCAUAGGUCUAUAGACCAGGGUGAUCUCCCACUGUAUCAUAGGUCUAUAGACCAAGGCGAUCUUCUACUGUAUCAUAGGUCUAUAGACCAGGGUUAUAUCCUACUGCAUCAUAGGUCUAUAGACCAGGGUGAUCUACUACUGCAUCAUAGGUCUAUAGACCAGGGUGAUCUACUACUGUAUCAUAGGUCUAUAGACCAGGGUGAUCUCCUACUGCAUCAUAGGUCUAUAGACCAGAGUGAUCUCCUACUGUAUAAUAGGCCUAUAGACCAGGGUGAUCUCCUACGGUAUCAUAGGUCUAUAGACCAGGGUGAUCUCCUACUGUAUCAUAGGCCUAUGGACCAGGGUGAUCUCCUACUGUAUCAUAGGUCUAUGGACCAGGGUGAUCUCCUGCUCUAUCAUAGGUCUAUAGACCAGGGUGAUCUCCUACUGUAUCAUAGAUCUAUAGACCAGGGUGGUCUCCUACUGUAUCAUAGGUCUAUAGACCAGGGUGAUCUCCUACUGUAUCAUAGGUCUAUAGACCAGGGUGAUCUCCUACUGUAUCAUAGGCCUAUAGACCAGGGUGAUCUCCUACUGCAUCAUAGGUCUAUAGACCAGAGUGAUCUCCUACUGUAUAAUAGGCCAAUAGACCAGGGUGAUCUCCUACUGUAUCAUAGGUCUAUGGACCAGGGUGAUCUCCUACUGUAUAAUAGGCCUAUAGACCAGGGUGAUCUCCUACUGUAUAAUAGGCCUAUAGACCAGGGUGAUCUCCUACUGUAUUAUAGGUCUAUAGACCGGGGUGAUCUCCUACUGUAUCGUAGGUCUAUAGGCCAGGGUGAUCUACUACUGCAUCAUAGUUCUAUAGACCAGGUUGAUAUACUACUGUAUCAUAGGUCUAUAGACCAAGGUGAUCUCCUACUGCAUCAUAGGUCUAUAGACCAGGGUGAUCUCCUACUGUAUCAUAGGUCUAUAGACCAGAGUUAUCUCCUACUGUAUAAUAGGCCAAUAGACCAGGGUGAUCUCCUACUGUAUCAUAGGUCUAUGGACCAGGGUGAUCUCCUACUGUAUAAUAGGCCUAUAGACCAGGGUGAUCUCCUACUGUAUAAUAGGCCUAUAGGCCAGGGUGAUCUCCUACUGUAUUAUAGGUCUAUAGACCGGGGUGAUCUCCUACUGUAUCGUAGGUCUAUAGGCCAGGGUGAUCUACUACUGCAUCAUAGUUCUAUAGACCAGGUGAUAUACUACUGUAUCAUAGGUCUAUAG
This 2583-nucleotide long non-coding RNA is filed under the name Oncorhynchus mykiss (rainbow trout). RNAcentral's name for it is "lncRNA (ENSOMYG00000072803.1)". Lineage: Eukaryota; Metazoa; Chordata; Actinopteri; Salmoniformes; Salmonidae. The record is from RNAcentral.